CUACGGACUCUACGGGAGGCAGCAGUGGGGAAUAUUGCACAAUGGGCGCAAGCCUGAUGCAGCCAUGCCGCGUGUAUGAAGAAGGCCUUCGGGUUGUAAAGUACUUUCAGCAGUGAGGAAGGUGGGUAUGUUAAUAGCAUACUCAUUUGACGUUAGCUGCAGAAGAAGCACCGGCUAACUCCGUGCCAGCAGCCGCGGUAAUACGGAGGGUGCGAGCGUUAAUCGGAAUUACUGGGCGUAAAGCGCAUGCAGGUGGUUUGUUAAGUCAGAUGUGAAAGCCCGGGGCUCAACCUCGGAAUUGCAUUUGAAACUGGCAAACUAGAGUACUGGUAGAGGGGGUAGAAUUUCAGGUGUAGCGGUGAAAUGCGUAGAGAUCUGAAGGAAUACCGGUGGCGAAGGCGGCCCCCUGGACAGAUACUGACACUCAGAUGCGAAAGCGUGGGGAGCAAACAGGAUUAGAUACCCUGGUAG
Molecule: ribosomal RNA, 471 nt
Filed under: uncultured bacterium
Lineage: Bacteria
Description: bacterial SSU rRNA
Rfam family: Bacterial small subunit ribosomal RNA
Source: RNAcentral